RNAcentral lists this ribosomal RNA (404 nucleotides) under uncultured bacterium. RNAcentral's name for it is "bacterial SSU rRNA". It matches the Rfam family "Bacterial small subunit ribosomal RNA", at positions 355 to 776 of the family's 1533-position model. The record is from RNAcentral.
UGGGGAAUAUUGGACAAUGGGCGCAAGCCUGAUCCAGCAAUGCCGCGUGCGUGAAGAAGGCCUUAGGGUUGUAAAGCGCUUUCACCCGUGAAGAUGAUGACGGUAGCGGGAGAAGAAGCCCCGGCUAACUCCGUGCCAGCAGCCGCGGUAAUACGGAGGGGGCGAGCGUUGUUCGGAAUUACUGGGCGUAAAGGGCGCGUAGGCGGCGUGCCAAGUCGGAUGUGAAAGCCCCGGGCUCAACCCGGGAUGUGCAUUCGAUACUGGCAGGCUCGAGUCCGGGAGAGGAUGGCGGAAUUCCCAGUGUAGAGGUGAAAUUCGUAGAUAUUGGGAAGAACACCGGUGGCGAAGGCGGCCAUCUGGACCGGCACUGACGCUGAGGCGCGAAAGCGUGGGGAGCAAACAGG